GAUGAACGCUGGCGGCGUGCCUAAUACAUGCAAGUCGAGCGAACAGACGAGGAGCUUGCUCCUCUGACGUUAGCGGCGGACGGGUGAGUAACACGUGGAUAACCUACCUAUAAGACUGGGAUAACUUCGGGAAACCGGAGCUAAUACCGGAUAAUAUAUUGAACCGCAUGGUUCAAUAGUGAAAGACGGUUUUGCUGUCACUUAUAGAUGGAUCCGCGCCGCAUUAGCUAGUUGGUAAGGUAACGGCUUACCAAGGCAACGAUGCGUAGCCGACCUGAGAGAGUGAUCGGCCACACUAGAACUGGGACACGGUCCAGACGCCUACGGGAGGCAGCAGUAGGGAAUCUUCCGCAAUGGGCGAAAGUUUGACGGAGCAACGCCGAGUGAGUGAUGAAGGUCUUCGGAUCGUAAAACUCUGUUAUUAGGGAAGAACAAAUGUGUAAGUAACUAUGCACGUCGUGACGGUACCUAAUCAGAAAGCCACGGCUAACUACGUG
Molecule: ribosomal RNA, 497 nt
Filed under: uncultured bacterium
Lineage: Bacteria
Description: partial 16S ribosomal RNA
Rfam family: Bacterial small subunit ribosomal RNA
Source: RNAcentral